Molecule: small nucleolar RNA, 93 nt
Organism: Apodemus sylvaticus (European woodmouse)
Lineage: Eukaryota; Metazoa; Chordata; Mammalia; Rodentia; Muridae
Product: small nucleolar RNA SNORD116
Exons: 1
Source: RefSeq, a predicted model, not a curated record
GGAUGUAUGAUGAUUCCCAGUACAACAUUCCUUGGAAUGCUGAACAAAAUGAAUAAAUUCUCAAUACCGCAACUCUCAUCCAACAUGAGGUCC